CUGUCGUUUUCCACUUCGUUUUUCUGGUCUGUAAGUUGUAUCUAACACCCAAAAAGUCAUAUGCGUUUCUUCAAUUUUCCAUUACCAGGAAGUCUUACAACAAGGUAGGUUUGAAUGGUAGCUUAGGAAGAUUGUCAGCUGUGUUUGAAGGGAAGUUCAGUUAGAUUCCAUUCAGUCAGCUCUACAUACACCAUAUGAAUAAUAAGAAUGAAUUUGGUAAAACAAAAUCCUGCUCUUCUUUGCAAAAAUGUCCAGUGCCCACAUUGAAAUCCACACCAUCUUUCCCCAACACUCAAUUGACAGUAAAACUAAACAUAAACCUCAAAUUCAAAGGCCUGAAACAUCAGUAGAGUAUGGAACUUGAUCAUCAGACUCCAUUUUUGCCUCUGAUUCUUUCAUAUCAUGUCUCUGUUUCCACUUCUACUGAGGUCUCUCUGCAAACUGUUGGCUGCCUUCAUUCAGAGGCCUACUGCAGCCAUGGCAACUCUGCUCUAUGAGAGCAAUUUGCUGCCCCGGAGUCUUAAUAUGGAGCGUUUUGUUGCACAAGAUCUGCUGGAAGAAGAUAAUUAUUUGUUUCAUUUUGUCAUACGCAUGUUGAGGUGUCUCUGGUAAUGAGCCUGUCUGCAAUGCAAGCUUGUUGGGUACUGCAAUUUUUUAGCAUAAGUGGGCAUUGGGUCCAUGAAAAAAUGGUCUUUUUGGACAUGGAAGGUAAGUUUUUAGCAUAAGUUUGUAUUGGGUCCAUGGAAAACUGGUCUUUUUGGACUUGGACUGCCCACAAAGCAAGCUUGCACAUUGAAUUUUUGCUGAUAACUUUUUGACUGAAUAGUUUUAUGUUCUGGAAGUUGCAUUGAAGUUUUGGAUUAGUAUAUUUGGAGUUCAGAAGAAUGGAUCAAACUAACAUUAUUGUGGGUCUUGAGUUCCUUAGGCUCUGUGAGUGAGUAUACUUGGAGAUUUUUUUGGGUAUACAAAGUGUAUACUUUGUCGUAUUUAACCCAGUUGAAGUGAUUCUGAAGUGAUUUGUAUAAGCUGAGGCCUUGAAUACAGAGUUUUUGGGCGUAUUUUACCUGGAAUCCCAAUUAUAUGAGACCAUGGAUUGUUUACAAUGUAGUGUAUUGAGUACCAGGUUACAUGGUUUUAAGCUUGGUUACUCUUGAAUCUUGUUUGAAUAAUGUAUUGAUUAUGAGCAAAUUUGAUACCUUGAAUCA
Molecule: long non-coding RNA, 1205 nt
Organism: Cryptomeria japonica (Japanese cedar)
Lineage: Eukaryota; Viridiplantae; Streptophyta; Pinopsida; Cupressales; Cupressaceae
Exons: 2
Source: RefSeq, a predicted model, not a curated record